Molecule: ribosomal RNA, 281 nt
Filed under: uncultured bacterium
Lineage: Bacteria
Description: partial 16S ribosomal RNA
Rfam family: Bacterial small subunit ribosomal RNA
Source: RNAcentral
CCCUUGUCCUUAGUUACCAGCACGUAAUGGUGGGCACUCUAAGGAGACUGCCGGUGACAAACCGGAGGAAGGUGGGGAUGACGUCAAGUCAUCAUGGCCCUUACGGCCUGGGCUACACACGUGCUACAAUGGUCGGUACAAAGGGUUGCCAAGCCGCGAGGUGGAGCUAAUCCCAUAAAACCGAUCGUAGUCCGGAUCGCAGUCUGCAACUCGACUGCGUGAAGUCGGAAUCGCUAGUAAUCGCGAAUCAGAAUGUCGCGGUGAAUACGUUCCCGGGCCUU